Long non-coding RNA from Acinonyx jubatus (cheetah), 12713 nucleotides. RefSeq lists it as uncharacterized. The transcript has 6 exons. The record is from RefSeq and is a predicted model, not a curated record. NCBI's taxonomy places the organism in Eukaryota, Metazoa, Chordata, Mammalia, Carnivora, Felidae.
CAAAACAUUUAUGUAUAGCGUUGCUAUAGAAUGCCCAGAAUCCUCAAACAGCACUUAACAUCGUUUAGAGAGGGUCGGGCUGCUUAUGACAACCAGAUGAAGUGAUGAGGCGCGUCAUCCUCGAUCGGACGCUGGAUCCAAACAACAGCCGCAAAGGACGUUUGGGGGACCGAGGUACCUGAGACUGUAUUCGGUGGUGAAAAGCUUUGGUGUGUCAAAGACGCAUGGGCUUAGAAAGCUCUCUACAGCCUGGUGAGAAAAUAACACAUCUUAAUACGGUUGCAUUCAAUGGAUGAUUGCAGAGAACAGAUUCGGAGGCCUCUCACGGAGCGUUUGCGAUGAUGAUAAAAGUGUAUUUUCACCGCGCUGACCAACUUUUACCCCUGGGAGACAUAUAUAGUAAGAACUUACCACAGCCAAUGUCAGGUUACUGCCCAUGUUCUCCAUUUUAGAAAACAUCCUACACAACAGUGGAACGCGCAUACCCGUCCCCACACACACCGUCAUCAGGAGGAAAAGGCUCGAAAGAUACGCAACAGCACCUGACGCCAUCUGAUACACUUCCUUCCGCACUUGUAAGCUGCGAAGCCUUCCUCGAACCAGCAGGUGGACUGUGACAGGGGCGGGGACUGCCUCUGUACACUCAGUUUAACCUGUGACCAAUGGCUGCCACAUGGUAGGCGCUCAACAAAUGUAUUAUUUAUUGAAGUAAAUGACUAAUGAAGAAAAGGGAAUUUUACAGAAACAUAAGGUCUUCUGUAUUUUGAAGUAUCAACAGUGAACUAAUAAGAAAUCUGGUUUCAGUCAGAAUGAGGUAAAGACUGAUCAGAGAAAGAAUUGUCUCAAGUUCACAGGAUUACAACUGGAGUCCCGAAGAGAACACAGGAGUAAACAUUAGACAUUAAUGCUUACCUUUAUUUUCGCUUUAAUUUCCUGAGCACGUACAACUGGAUCCUGGUCAAGACUCUUUUUAGCCUGGGCAUUCAUGAGGUUGUUCAUCCACUCCAUCACUUCAUUAACAGACUUCUCAACCUUUUUCAUCUCAGACUCAUCAAUAUGAUUGUAUUUCUCAUCCUGAAUGGAAAAAAAGCACAGUUAUCCUGUGAAACGAAGUAUUUAACAAUAACAUCUCACCUGACCCAAUUUUCCAUGAAGUUCAAACCUACCUCUGGUCUCAAACACAAAAACAAAUGUCUCACUUAGGAAGAUGUGUUCACAACGAAGGCUCCUCAACUUAGUAUUAGUUUAUUAAAAUCUAGGUUAACUUCCUUGCGAUGUAUAAAAAGACUUACAUUAUUUCUGAAGUCCGCGGCUAUCUUGGCAUAGUGCUGCAGUCUCUGUCCCAGUUCUUCAAACAUUUUUGGUCGUUCCUCAGCUUCUUGAAACCGAACUUUAACUGGAGUGCCAAUUUUCUAAAACAAAAUGUAAUAAAUUAGCAUUUGUCUAACUGCAUCUCAGAAGUCUGUAGUCUAGGGGGAGAGAAGGGCUUACCAUUAAUUCUUCCAACUUGUCAACAUAUGCUUGUUUAGCUUGGUCCUCUCCCUCUUCAUAGAGCCAGUUUUCGGUCUCCGUGAGCAAUCUCAGAAAAUUCUGGUGAUCCUGUAUAGGACACAGAAGAGAAUCCGUAUCAGUUGCAACUUUACCGCAAAAAUUUUCACAGCAAAACACUCAUCCUCAGAAGUGUUAAACGCUAAGUAACCAAUCUUACUUCUAGGAAGGCACGCUGAUUAGCUGGAUUCUCUUUGCUGAAAAGUUAUCAAGGAGCAAUAAACACUACCCGUGCCAUACAUUUUACAUGAGGGAUGAACUGUAAUUCUUUGGCUUCUCUUUUACACAGGGACAUCUGAGAAUUUUUGGUAAGCUGCUUACUGACUUAAUGAUGUACCUCAGAAGUCCAGUGUCGGACAAUCUAUACAUUGAAAUGUAGUUAUGGAAGAGCAGUUCUUUUCCCGUUCUUCAAAGCAACUGGGCCUUGACUAAGUAACUUUCUAUUCACUCCCACAACUACUGAGUACCGAAAGGGAGAUGUCAGACAAGUUGACAACAAUUCAAUCACUGAACCUAAAUCAUUUCCGAACCAAUUCAUGUAAUUAUUUCUACUCUAGCCUGAGGAGGUCUACCCUAUUUUGGGUCAUCUCUCCUUCAGAAUCCAAACCAUCUAAGAAAUUCAGGAAGUGUCGGGGCAGAGCCAAAAACCAAAAGUUUAUGACAAGGUAGCUCAAGGAUCUUAGAACAACACAGACUCCUCCAGGUUUAAAUUCUUGUAACUUCAGGAUUAAUCCCUAAACCAUCCUAAAUUUCUAUCUAGCCAAUUUUUUUCUAAGUCCGAUCUUUCACAGUUGGGCUUCUGGGAUUUACUCAGAGCCACACUGACUUUGGGAGCUUAGAAAAGGGCUAAGGGGAAUAAUGUGCUCAAUAAACUUUGGAACAACUGCAUGAACAAGUCUUAUGGGAUAAAACAAUGACCACAGAGCAGGCAAGGGAACCAGUCAUUAAAAAAAAAAAAAAGGUCUGAGGUCUUUAAAAGCAAGGUUUUUUUCCCUCUUAUUUAUCCCUCUAGCCCCCAAACCUUUAGUGUCACAGACUCUGAGUAAAUGUUUGAUAGGUUCUUUCUUGUGGAUGAUAACAACUAAAGGGUCACUGGGAUAAGUUAGAAUGUAAAAUUGCACAUCACUAAUGGGCCUCUUUCCGAGACUUUGUUUAUACAAUUUCUAUUUCAAGUUUUCUGUUUUCAAAAAGCUCGUUACAUAAUCUAGUAGAGAUUUAAAUGUCAGACUUGAGAUGAAACAGUUUAUGAGAUUAUCUGAAUAAAAACAGAACGUGGGGCACCUGGGUGGCUCGGUUAGUUAAGCAUCCAAGUUUUGAUUUCAGCUCAGGUCAUGAUCUCACGGUUUGUGAGACUGAGCCCAGCAUCAGGCUCUGUGCGGACAGCACGGAGCCUGCUUGGGAUUCUCUCUCUCCCUCUGCUCCUCCCCAUCUUGUGAGCGUGCAUGUGCGCUUUCUCUCAAAAUAAACUCAGAAAAAGAAAACAACAACAACGCUCUACACAUACCUGCUCACAUAUAAAUUUUUCAUAUGGUCCACACAACUUGUCCCUGAACUCAUACACAUAUUCCUCCACCGCAUUUUUAGCAUCGUUUCUUUCCUUUUCCAAUUUAUCUUGCAUUAUCAUCUUACCCUGUCAGAAAACAGAAAAGGUCAAUUCCAGUCUUCUGUUAUCUGUAACUAAAUUUUAGCUAGACUCUGGUGUUAAAAUCAACAAUUAUAUACCCCGCCCCCAAAAGUGUUAACAGUUCUAACAUACACCUCAUGAAUCUUCCAAUAAAUCUUACAAAGUUCUUCAUUUACUAUAUACACAUAGUAGGUUGUGAUUUAAAAAAAAAAAACAAACAAACAUUAGGUAAUAAAUUACAUAGCUUCCGCAUCUCAGGUUUAAUACCAAGGGGGGAAAAACCCAAUCCGCUGUAAUUUAUUAUUUUUUUUUAGGUAGUUAUACGAUCGUCCCCUAUUAGGAUUAAUAUUGGCAAGCGUAUAAUGGUCACACCAUUCUGCCACCAUAUUUGAAAUUAAGGACUAUAAAUUUAUUUACCUACUUAUGAAAUAUAAGUGAGGUAUAAUUAUUAAAUUUCUAAGCACAAUGUUGCCAUCUCAGCAAAAUAAAACAGAAUCUCAAUUAUGUUCACAUAUUCUAGACUACAAAGAAGCACAACGUACUUUAACAGAAAUAUGUAGUAUGGCCUGAAAUACCAAUUGUAUUGUGCUCUGUGCUAGGACAUACUGGCAUCCGAUUUCUUCCAAGAACUUGGGCAAUCAAUUAUAUACCUGGCAGAAUGAUCUACGGUACAGCUUUCUUUCAAAAGGAUGCAAAACUAUAAAUAAAGCUUGUUAAAAACAUUAAAUUGGAAAACCAUUAGUUAUGGACUCAUCCUAUUCCUAAAACUGUAUAGAACUUGGGAGUAUGGGAAAGAAGUGUACAUAUUUAUCUAUUAGAAAUAUGGGUAACAGGGCCAAACAACUAAAUACACAGCAGAAUGAAAAAUAUUUACCUGAAGCACUUACCUCUGUCUCAAUAUACAUGUUAAGAAGGUCUUUCCCUAACUGCCAGACCAAGUUGGCUUCAAUAGGCAGCUCAACAUUCACCACCUUUAUUUUGGGUUUUUUAGCUUCUGGAGGCUGGUCAACUUUCUUUUCAUUUACCUUAGGGAAGGGGUAAAAAAGAAGUGGAAAAAUUCUUACAUAAUCCUUGAAACAAUGACAACAGUAUCUCCCUAUCAUACUUACUGAUGACUUAGGCAAAAAUAAAGUCCCUAAACUUUAGAAGAAUGUCGAAGACCGUCUAAUUCCCACCACACAUUUUACAUUGGGCUGCAGUUACAAGUUAAACAUGUCAUACUUUCCUUCAAGAAUUCAGGAUAUUUUUCUCUUUGCAUGGUAAAUUUAAUCUCUCCUGCUAAAGCUUUUCUUCAUAGUUCUCUAAUUUUUAACCCCCUUCAACAAUAUUUCAGACUCCAAAAGUCAAAAAUAUUAUUAAAUUGCCACAUCUUUAAAUAAUAGUCUAGAACCUUAAUAGUAACAAGAUAGAUUAUGACCAAUGCUAAGCAUGUUAGGACCAAUCUACUCCUGUAAUAUAUACUUAAAUCCCUGUAUCCCACUAUUAUACCUGUUGCAAUUAUAAUUAGCACUAUACUGAUGAGUGCCUUUUAAAGUUUCCUGCUGAAUGCGGGGAUUAUAUACAUACACACACACCCAUACGUAUAUGUAAGUAUAUGUAUAAGUAUCCUUAUUCCUAUUAUCUGUCUUUGAGUGAUCCCACUUUUCACAAGCAACUCUGUAAGGUAAAAAGAGACAAAGAGCCUUAAUAUAGAAAGUGAAAUGAUGCAGCAAACACUAACAAUUUACUGCAGUUUUUAAAAAUAUGUAAAUACAGGGCUAAAGAAGUAAGUAUCUCUCCUAUCGCCUUUAAUUUUCCAGGACUUUUCUGUGUUUCCAUUUCUAUAGGCUCCUACUAGCUGAGAUGGUAAAGAACACAAUUUAGGAAACUCAGCUGUAGAACAGACUAGAAAAACCAAGGGGUAUAAAACAUAUACCCUGACUGGCUGGGAUGGCCAAAUAGGAAAGAAUAGCCCAUCGAUACGGCAAACACCACCGGUGGAUAAUUCUGGGGAGUUAAAAAAAAAAAAAAAAAAGGUUGAAGCUCUAGGCACGUCAUAGAAGAAACUGGGACUUGAAAAAGGUUCAGCGGCUUGCCUAAAAUGAUGAAGACAGAGACGGGACUAGAACUCCUGUUUCCCAGACUUAUUUCAGUAUUCCUGAGUCACAGGUCUCAGUGCGGCCAGCUGCCUCACCCACAAUGAUCUUGCCAAUCAGCCCGCAGUCCCCAUGCCUUCUUCACUCUAGUGCACAGACCCCCCAACAGACUAUGUAUGCUCCGGGGGCACGAACCACAAGGAAAAUGAGUUAGAGGACAUCUACACCUAGCAAAACACAGGAGUACGACAGAUAUUUGGGAAACGAAUGGAUGACAGCACAUGUGUGGCAGUGAAGUCAGCAUAAGACUCUCUGACGGUCCAACAUUAAACCGACUACUGACUAAACCAAUACGUCACAAAAUGGCACUCGACAAGGCACGCAUGAAGAAUCUCCAAAGUAGUAUGUGACAGUGUUCCAGAGGGUCUGCUGCCAUCAGUCCCACCUACAACUAAGAAUAUGAGAUGGUGCCCCAUGUUAUGUUCCAGACAGGUACUGAGACCAUCAGCACAAGUCAGUUCAUGCUCAACGCUACGUGAAGGGGAAGGAUGGGGACGGCAGGGAGCUGUUGUGGCAAAGAAAGCAAAGCUGCUUCACCACCAUGCAACUCUGGAAGAGAAGAAAAAGGCGGCUUUCAGAGAGUCAGGAACUAAAGCUCGUAGUAGGACCCCCCCCCCCCCCGCCAGGACCAAUCAGGGCAUGAGAUUAAAAACUGAAAGCUUUUACCAAGUGUAUAAUGUAUUUUUGCCAAUGAACAAUUCUAGAAUUCAUCGGAGGGUAAGAGAGAACCAAAUCACUAAUGAAAGAUUAAUAAUUUACAUGCAACUUGCACAAAAAGUGGAAGUUCUGCAAAGCACAGAACGAUCUGGAGUCACAGUGGAAACUUGGCGGUAUCUAUCGGACCAUGAAUUUUAAAGGUUUGCUUAUUAGAAGCUGUCAUUUAUUCAAGGGACACCACACAAAUCAUUUAGCUUCCAAUACAUACUGUGGAAGCAUGGCAAAGCAAAAUUACUUUGAGGUACGAUCUGGUUGUUACCAGAUCAUAAUUAAUUUGACAGGUCACUUGAGAGGAGAAAAAAGUUUACUAGACUCCUAUAGCCCGUGUAUUUAUCAUCAGACUAAUGCAAGUAAGAACUCAUCACACAGCACUGGGAUGUAGCUCUUUCUGCUCCUCACAUUAGCAGAUACGUCUGGCACCAGAGAAGACAAGAAAUGCCAUGCAUUCAUCUCUUGUUGCUCGGAGCAGCAGUUCAUCAAGAGAAGCUGUCAUGUUUAAAGCAGGAUAUUCAGUUUCCUGAGUUGAGCUUGAGUACCUCUAACUCAUUUUAAUUGAAAAACACAUAAAAAAUUAACAGAAGAAAAAUCCUACCCAGAAUAAGAUAACUUGGUGCUUGCUCUUGAAACUGCAGAUUUAAUGAUAUCAUUAAUGAUCACAUGUUGCAACAUUGUCUAAAGGAAUGAACUAGAAGAGUCACUCACUUUGUCAGCAUCUGGGAUUUUGUUUUCUUCUGAGGUAAGUUCAGGUGAAGGGGGAGACUGUGAGGUUUGUUGACCAUCAGUUUGUACCUGGGGCUGUGUUCCAGCUUCACUGUUGUCUUGCUGGAUAUUUUUCUGAAAUGAAAGCCCAGGCACAAAGGAUGUAGAAAGCAGGUGUACUUGUAUAAAUUUAAUAGGUUAUAGGGCACCCAAGACAGUACGCUCAAUUUCUGAAGUCUUAAUAAGUGGGGGAAAAAAGAGACUGGAUAAAAGCAAAAUAAACACAUGAAAACUCCUUACAAAUCUUAAACCUGUAAGAAAUUCUUUCCACGAUAGCAGUUGAUAUAGUUAAAUAACCAAGUAGUAGGCAUUUUGAUUGAUGUGAUGAGUCAAGAACUCUCCUUUAAGAAACUUUCACCUAGCUUUGUACAGCUCUUAAGCUCUCAAAAGCACAAAAAGUAGGUUGACUCCAGGCCUCUCUCCCAAAAAACAAGAUUCCAAAACUUAAAUUUCACCAGCAGCUGUGAGCAUCUCAACACAGCUCCAUUUCAAUGAAAUGAACAGUUGCAUAAAAUAGCCAACUAUCAGUCAUUCAGGGAUGCAUCAUUUCAGCUUACAGAUACCCAAGACCGCAUCCGUCCCCACCUUCUUUUUGGGAUCCAGCCAUUUCCACCUCAGAAGAUCUCAGGAUAAAGAAUAUAUGCUACAUAACUUCAAGAUUCUAAGGCAGACACUGAAGUAUUCAAAAACAAGGCACUCAUGAUGUAAAUAUACCCAAAAGGCACUAAGAGAUUGAUACAACAGGUAUUAGAAUAAUGGUAUCUGUCGCCAAAUGGCAAAGUCUAUGGCACUGGUCAUUUAACUCAUUAUUUUGAAAUUUUUCUAAAUGAGAAAAUGAAGGCUCAGAUGUAAAUGUUCUUUAAACGUUCUAGAAAUGGUAACAGUGUUAACAGAGUUGUGUGGCCACAGGAUACCAUACUUUCUCACAUGUUAACUAACACAUUACACCACCUGCCUCUUCACGUAAGCUAUUUGUGAUUAUUAUCCAAAAGUAAACUCUAACAGUUAAUCUAUCUUGAAGUUUCUUAAAAUUCUUCUGCACUCAUGCUAACAAAAGUCUAAAUUAAGAACGUGAACAAUAACAACCUUCUAUUCUCUAUGUAGAUACUUCUCUUCCCUCCUCCCACAAUACAGCAAGCCAUGUAAACAAAAGUGCAAACCAUGUAAAUAAAAGCAAGUCCUGAAAUACCAAAGUCAACUUCACAAUUUUUAAAAAUAAUCUUUAAUAUUUGGUAUAUAUUCCACCACAUUAAUUUUUUUAAGUCUUUUUUCUUAAUCAUCAGUCAACACCGCCUUCUCAAUAUGUGGUCGACGCCUUUAAAAAAAUAAUUCAGAGAAACUUUAUGACUCUAGUUAUAUUGUAAUGUGCCAGUUCAAAUUAAGCUAUAUAGAAUUUAAUCAUAAGUCAUCAAAUUCCGGGCUGUGUAUUAUCAUCACCUAGCAAUUGCUAUUAUCACCCUUACCCAAAAUUCUAAUCAAAAUUAAGGAACAUGUAUUUUAACCUUUCCCUACCCUUCUCCUAUAGAAUUAAAUCUACUAUAUAUUCAAACACAAAGGGUGAUCCAGAAACUUACCUCGGUGUCUGAGUUUUCUGCUGGUCUUUGAUUUGGACACUCCAUGUCUGUUUCAACAGAAGAUACUUCAUUCUCCUCAGUUGGGACUUUCUCCACCAUAGAUGCUGUAGAGAUGGUGAAAAUGCCAUGGGUAUUGACUCGCACUUUCACUUUCACUCUAGAUUUUUCUCCAUCUUUCUGCGCAGAAACAUUCUGAACUACGAAGCGGCCUGGAACAAAAAGAAAUUGGCAAUUUUAGAAGUGCAUCUAAAUCUCCGUAAAGAAGUCAAAGGCCCGAAAAUACAGCUUGAAAGUAUGCUAAGUCCUAAAUCUCCCCAAUUUUCUCUACCAACUGAAUUAAGAAUCUUUUUCACUACAAACAUAAACUUAGUUAUAUAGUAUACUUCAAUGCUUUGAGAUUAGUCUUAAUAUGCCAUAAAACCUUCAAAAGCAAGGGCACUCUUGUGAUCGGGUGUAUUUAACAUAGAUAUUGCACUGCUGACAAGCAGUCCCUGCCUCCUCCUACCUUGUUUCUCCAGAUUGGUGGUAAGGGACAAACUAGACUGGAAAAUCUGUUACCAAGUGUAAGGUAGAUGGCUCUCAAGCGAUAUCAAGCACCAGAUGCAUUUUAAUCCCACAGGGUCUUUAGGGAAUACGGUUUUUCUGACUGAAUAAUCAAAACAUUUCCCUAGCUCUUAAAUACGAGAGGUUUUGAUAACACCUGUUUAUCAAAGUCUGAAAUUACUAUGCAAAAUACAGUAGUUCCAGAGCCAUUACUCAUGGGGGGUUAAGAGUGUGGACUCUGGCCUGGGCUUGAACCCAGGCUAUGUGUCCUAAUUCAAGUUAUUUAACCUAUGUUUCCAUGGACAGAGUUGGCAAGUGUUUACAGUGAGCAUGUAAAACUACAGAACCAAGUGCUAAGUGUUAGCUAUCAUCUCCACCAAUAGCCUUAUUCCAGAGAUCACUAAACCAAAAUUAUUUUGAACCUCAUACGUGCAAAGCACUAUAUGGGAUUUAACAGGCCUAUAUUUAAGGUGCUGUCUACACAAACACAGAAAGUUACAUAUUUAAUUACCAGGUCAGUGAAAGAUGUUGGAAUUGACAUUCAAUAAUUAUCAGAUCACUAGAGGUCAGGAAAUAAUUACCCAUAAGACCCAUUUAAAGAAACAGCAUUUACUAUGGGGCAUCCAAGACAAGUCACAGGAGAAAGAGAAAUUCAAGACUGUUCUUUAAGUAUGUCUAAGCUUUUUGGUUUUGGUGGUAACAUGUUAACUUGAUGACAUACUAAAAAACCUGGAUUAUACCCUUUGCAUGAUGGGGAAUUGAUGCAUAGAAUCCAACCUAUCUAUUAAAAGUUCAGUCUCUAUUCAACAAUUUCUUAGCAAUAAAUUCGUAAAAACUGUUUAAAAACAAAACCAAACAAUCUGUGCCAGUACACUUUUAGUCUUAAAUAAUAAGAAAGAAGACACAACUGGUCAGGUCAGACUCCUUUAAACAACUUCAUUACAAAAGGGUAUGGGGCAAGGGUGAGUCUGGAACACAUCUAGAGAUGCUGGCAAAUUUCGCCCUCAGCCUGGGAAAGACACAUGGCCACGCAAAAAGAUGUAUCUGUAGCUCUCCAACAGACUUCCAGUAACUAGGAGUCAAAACAGAUAGUGCCAAACCUCUCCAAGAAAAGUGUACCAAAAAAGAUGUAUUUUUUUCACUGGGUUCUGAGGCAGGUUUUAAGUUGGAAGUAACGUUCCAUCCAGAGGAAAGGUUAACAGUAAAAGUAGGUGCUGAUGCUUUAAAUAGAGACUGUAUCAGAAGAGAAAAAAUACUGAAGAGUCCCUAAACACAUAUAUGUGGAAGUAACAGUGGCACCAGCAAGUCAUUUCAUCUCUACUGGCCAAUUUCUUCAUCCAUAGAAGGAAAAGAUUUCUCCAUCACCAUUAUUCUAAAUCAACGAUGUCUUUACGUGGAAUUCUACUCCACUUGACAUCAAGAAAAAUUUUUACAUUUGUAAACUAAGUCUUUAAAAGCAUAAACACACAAAAUUAAUGGCUCACCUAUUUUUGCUUCUGGAUAUGGAACUCCUUGAGGGUCAGAAUAGAAAGCUUCUAGCUCAAAAGGUCCCCUUCUCAAGAAAGUGAGAACUUUGGAGAAAGGAGCAGCAUGGUUUCGACUAAAUACUUCAUGCACACUAGAGGAAAGGAAAAAGCAUUCAGUAUUGCAAACAUGUAAACUUACUGUGCUACACAAACUGAAUAAACACUCUGAGAUCUCUACCAAUUCUAGCCCACCAUUUAUUAACACCAAAAUGAGAGAAAUAUUUUGAUCAGUUUGGUUGUUCAAAGAUCCCAAUAAUCAGACUCUCAACUGUAAAAGUCAUUUGUUAAUUUUCCUUGAUAUUAAAAUACAGUAUUUGAAUAGUUAUCUUCUGCUACCUACCCUUCAGUAUCUUCUGAAUCAUGGUUCCACACCAGAGAUAUUGGAAAAGGAACUGCAUCCGUGAUGGAAAAUUCUCUAACUUUGAAUGCUGGGGAAAGAAUUGCACACUUAAAAGGAAAAAAGAAAAAGGAUUAUCAGGAGGCUAUGAAUAAAUAAUUGCACUCACCCUUUAAUUAAAAUCGGGUAUCAAGUUUAAAUUCAAAAUCAAAAUUGCUUACGGUACACACUGUCUUAAGUGCAAAGGAUUUAUCAUCUAAAUACUAUGCCGAUCACUAAAUAUAAAGACAGAUAAUACAAUGAAUCUUAGGAUGGCAACAGUUAACUAACAGCAAGUUUCACAGGAGCUUGGGAAAAAACAUGGACCUUUCCAGAAAUGUCCUGACAGCAACUUCAAUUACAAGCUGUACCACUUUUGAACCUGUGUAUAUAUCCACAAACAGCUCUGUCCACAUCAUCUUUCGAAUGUCUAAGAAACUGAAAAAAGAUAAAACCCCAAAUAUUCAUAUUUUCAAGGAAUUUUAUGAAGGAGGUGAUGGUAAAUUCACAUUUGGGGUAGAUGACACCCAACAGACAGGUGGAUUUAGAGUAGUUAUAUAAAAAUGACUAAAUAUGUGACUACGCUAAAAGUCAGUUUCUGAUUAGCAUAGGACCCUUCAAAAGAGAGACCAAAAGUGAGCUCUUCCUCUAAAGAAAUGAUACACUUCCGAUGUUCUGGGGAGUUGGGAGACUUCUUAGGGAAGGGGGCAUACUCCAUUAUCAAGGAAAAAAACAAAAACAAAAACCCCAUGACGAAUCAUGAUGAUACAACAGAUAAUUAACAAUGAGUACCUAUAUGUUCUUCUUUAAGUAUUAAGUAUAGUCCUUCUAAAUAUCUUUGUGUAUAGAAUCUCUUGCUUUGCUUUAUAUCAAAAAUAACUGUACGAACUAGAAUAGAAUUUAAGGAUUAACUUGGAACUUAGUCAAAACUACUUACAUCAGACUGUGAUAUCCUAACUACAGAUGCUGCUUUUCUUAUCAACAACUUCUAGUUUUGGUGCUUUUGCUCUGCCAAACACACUUGAGCCUCUGAGCCACCUUCUUACUUGAUAAGUUAAAAUCAAUUAGGGGGAAGGGGGUCAGCUAUUUUCUAAAAUCACUUGUUAACUAAUACUCCUAGCCCAGGAAAUUUCCCCCAAAUCAAUUCCUUAUUGCACCACAUUGUUAUUCUAAUCCCCCUGUGUGCUUUGUAACAACUGUCAACACCACACAACUGAUUCAUGCUUUACAGUUGUGUUUCCCGUGUCUCCUCAGAAUCAUGCCUAUUCCUAAUCCACAGUUCAAGAAACAUCAGCUGCAAAUUUCUUUUAAUCAGAAACUUCCUAGAUGUUCCAGAUCUGAAAAUCCUGGUCUCCCCACAGCCUUAACAGAUGUUUUUGGAAGUGUACUCCCUUGUGAUAUCUAUUAGACACAAGGCUCUGCUUACUGUAUGAUCCGACCACAAUGAAACAAAGCAGAAAUGGCUUAAGGAACGAGCAGCAAGAGAAAGGAGGGCUGAGAACGUAAUACCUGCAGUGCACAUCCUCUAGCUACUGCUUCAUCCGCAUUGAGUGUCGUGCUAAUAUCUUUUCCAAAGAAUCGGGCAAUUUUUUCUUUCACGGCUGGAAUUCGUGUAGUGCCUCCAACGAUCUCAACCGCACUCACAUCUUCAACUCUGAGCUGAGUCUGUUCCAGAAGGGAAUGAAGGGGAGCUUCUAUCUUUUGCAGGAGGUCAGCACAGAGUUCUUCAAAUUGUGCCCUUGGCAAAUAAGAGGAACACUAUAAAUUUUUAGAAAAAGCAUCUGAAAGCCAAUACUUUGUUCUAUUUUUUUUGAAAAUAAUAUUAACCCAAUGAAUUUGUUUUUCCUCAGACAACCUCCAUUCCGUAUGGGCCAAAUUUAACUGUACUGUAAUUUGUUAACUUUUUAAAAA